Molecule: ribosomal RNA, 430 nt
Filed under: Longitarsus atricillus
Lineage: Eukaryota; Metazoa; Arthropoda; Insecta; Coleoptera; Chrysomelidae
Description: partial 16S large subunit ribosomal RNA
Source: RNAcentral
GUCUUUUUGGUAUUAAUUUAAGGUUUAACCUGCCCGAUGAAAAUUUGAAUGGCCGCGGUAUUUUGACUGUGCUAAGGUAGCAUAAUCAUUAGUUUUUUAAUUAAAAGCUGGAAUGAAGGGUUGGAUGAAAAAUUAACUGUCUCUAAUUAAUUUUAUUAGAAUUUUAUUUUUAAGUUAAAAAGCUUAAAUAAGUUUAAAAGACGAGAAGACCCUAUAGAGUUUAAUAUAUUUAAUUUAUUAAUAUUUAGUAUUUAUUUUUUAUAAUUAUAAUAUAUUUUAUUGGGGCGAUUAAAAAAUUUAAUAAACUUUUUUUUUAACUUUAUAUUAAUUAAUAAAUAAAUGAUCCAAAAAUUUUGAUUAUAAGAUAAAUUACCUUAGGGAUAACAGCGUAAUUUUAUUAGAGAGUUCUAAUCGAAAAUAAAGUUUGCGA